RNAcentral lists this ribosomal RNA (497 nucleotides) under uncultured bacterium. RNAcentral describes it as "partial 16S ribosomal RNA". It matches the Rfam family "Bacterial small subunit ribosomal RNA", at positions 28 to 507 of the family's 1533-position model. The record is from RNAcentral.
GAUGAACGCUGGCGGCGUGCCUAAUACAUGCAAGUCGAGCGAACGGACGAGAAGCUUGCUUCUCUGAUGUUAGCGGCGGACGGGUGAGUAACACGUGGAUAACCUACCUAUAAGACUGGGAUAACUUCGGGAAACCGGUGCUAAUACCGGAUAAUAUUUUGAACCGCAUGGUUCAAAAGUGAAAGACGGUCUUGCUGUCACUUAUAGAUGGAUCCGCGCUGCAUUAGCUAGUUGGUAAGGUAACGGCUUACCAAGGCAACGAUGCAUAGCCGACCUGAGAGGGUGAUCGGCCACACUGGAACUGAGACACGGUCCAGACUCCUACGGGAGGCAGCAGUAGGGAAUCUUCCGCAAUGGGCGAAAGCCUGACGGAGCAACGCCGCGUGAGUGAUGAAGGUCUUCGGGUCGUAAAACUCUGUUAUUAGUGAAGAACAUAUGUGUAAGUAACUGUGCACAUCUUGACGGUACCUAAUCAAAAAGCCACGGCUAACUACGUG